AGUGUUUUGUAAACCACAGUGUUUUUGUUUAUUAUGCAAGAAAGACUCUCCCCUCCGUAGUGUGUUUUUAUGUUGUUAGGUUACCAGGUUAGGCUAACCAGACAUUUUUUCAAUACAGGUACAGUGUGUGGGCGGCCUGGCGUUCGAUAUCUCCUGACCACCCCUGCAUCCUGCAGCAAAGGUUACAGCGUGAUCUCCCCGCAAAUUGAUUAAAGGAAGGUCUCAGUCAGCCACAGCAGUGCAAACAAUCCAGCGCCCAUCAAUAGGAAAUAGUCAGGCAGGACCUGGCAAAUGAUUCGCUUCAGAGGCCGUGUAGGGUUGGUAUAAUUCUAAUCAUGUGCUCCGAAUCCCAAGCUUGGCUCCGGCUGCAAUUCUUCCCAAACACAAAGAAAAAAAAUCACGAAGCAUGAAGAAAACAACCCGAAUAUCCCCCACAGACCCCAUCACAUCUCUCACUUCCAGUGGAUAUGUAUGCUGUUAUUUACUCAUUCGAGUCUUGUGCUGUCGAAGACGUCUGUGUGCCUCAACCGGCUGAAAAACAGUGUGAAUGAGAUCGCAGCGUGCGGCAGACCGGCAUCAUCUACGCCAUAAAGUGCUCUCCUGCCUUCCUGUGCUCACGUCCCUGUUGUUUUCAUACUGAGAGAGGGAGCGAGUGAAGAGCUGUGGCUUCGGUCGGCCAGCAGAUGUUCAGUUCACUAAAGGAGACAGGACUAGACUGAGAAACAGGCUUUUGCUGUCCAACCCGAAUGACAAAUUUGAUGUCCUGGACGAGAGCCCACAAUUUGUUGAACAGAUUGCAGUGGUGCCAUUUUACACUAGCGUGAUUGGACACUGUGUAGAGUGAUUUUGUAAAGGACUGAUCCCAAGAACCGGUUUUGUGUUGUCUGUCAUGAUAGGACAGGCCAGUGAUUGGCUUACAUAAGCCUCAAAGCAGGCCGACAGCUCAAACGCAUUAGUCGUUGGAUGUAUUUUGUUUUCUUAUCUGAACCCAUGGGUGUUGUUAUCACAGGCUGGAGCCUCUGUCGUCUGUCACUUACCUGUGGUGGAUUAUCUUCAGGCUAAUCAGAGGCGGGGGAUUGACUGAAAAUGAUUCAAUCAGAUGUCUGGAUUAAACCAUCUUCAUUCACCCGAGGCAGGAAUCAUGCUUUAAGUACAAACACUCCCCCACAACAGUUUUUAUUCCACAAGCCGGCUGUGAUUUUAUACAAGCGCUGGCCUUUGUGUUCUUACCAGAAAGCAACCCAGCAUCAAUGCAUCCUGGAUUUUUGGAUAGACGUUUCAUUGAGGCUACUGUAGAAGACAUACAUUGAAAAUUUUGCCGAUACAUUUUAGUGUGUCCCCUCAAACAAGAACCACUGUGUUGCAUUUUUCAAGUAUUUCUGUAUUUGUAUGCCAUUUUUAUUCAAAUAUAGAUGACAUAAUUUCAUCAGUGUGAGAACAAAAUCUAAUUGAUUUAAUGUGGAGAUAAGAGGGCUUCAGAAUUGGCUUUCAGAUGCAAUUGAAUGUUCCGCUUUUCUAGCAUGUUUAAUUCAUAGGUGGGAGGCGCUUCUUUGUUGGCAUUUAUAAAUUGAUGUCGAUAGCCCUUGUGGCCAGCCAUGCAUUGCACUCUCAUGAUAUUUGGUCAUUUCAACAUGUUAAUAUGUGUUAGCAAAUACAAAAUUAGUAAUGGAUGCCUCUAUUUUUGAGAUGCAAUAA
Triplophysa rosa is the source of this 1695-nucleotide long non-coding RNA. RefSeq lists it as uncharacterized. The record is from RefSeq and is a predicted model, not a curated record. The transcript is spliced from 3 exons. NCBI's taxonomy places the organism in Eukaryota, Metazoa, Chordata, Actinopteri, Cypriniformes, Nemacheilidae.